ACGAAUGGGGGGGGCCUAAACAUGCAAGCCGAGCGGUAGAAGUCCUUCGGGACUUUGAGAGCGGCGUACGGGUGCGUAACACGUGUGCAACCUACCUUUAUCAGGGGAAUAGCCUUUCGAAAGGAAGAUUAAUACCCCAUAAUAUAUUGAAUGGCAUCAUUUGAUAUUGAAAACUCCGGUGGAUAGAGAUGGGCACGCGCAAGAUUAGAUAGUUGGUGAGGUAACGGCUCACCAAGUCAAUGAUCUUUAGGGGUCCUGAGAGGGAGAUCCCCCACACUGGUACUGAGACACGGACCAGACUCCUACGGGAGGCAGCAGUGAGGAAUAUUGGACAAUGGGUGAGAGCCUGAUCCAGCCAUCCCGCGUGAAGGAUGACGGUCCUAUGGAUUGUAAACUUCUUUUGUAUAGGAAUAAACCUACUCUCGUGAGAGUAGCUGAAGGUACUAUACGAAUAAGCACCGGCUAACUCCGUGCCAGCAGCCGCGGUAAUACGGAGGGUGCAAGCGUUAUCCGGAUUUAUUGGGUUUAAAGGGUCCGUAGGCGGACCGAUAAGUCAGUGGUGAAAUCUCAUAGCUUAACUAUGAAACUGCCGUUGAUACUGUCGGUCUUGAGUAAAUUUGAAGUGGCUGGAAUAAGUAGUGUAGCGGUGAAAUGCAUAGAUAUUACUUAGAACACCAAUUGCGAAGGCAGGUCACUAAGAUUUAACUGACGCUGAGGGACGAAAGCGUGGGGAGCGAACAGGAUUAGAUACCCUGGUAGUCCACGCCGUAAACGAUGCUAACUCGUUUUUGGGGCGCAAGCUUCAGAGACCAAGCGAAAGUGAUAAGUUAGCCACCUGGGGAGUACGUCCGCAAGGAUGAAACUCAAGGAAUUGACGGGGGCCCGCACAAGCGGUGGAUUAUGUGGUUUAAUUCGAUGAUACGCGAGGAACCUUACCAAGACUUAAAUGGGAAAUGACAGGUUUAGAAAUAGACCCUUCUUCGGACAUUUCCAAGGUGCUG
Molecule: ribosomal RNA, 1001 nt
Filed under: uncultured Chryseobacterium sp.
Lineage: Bacteria; Pseudomonadati; Bacteroidota; Flavobacteriia; Flavobacteriales; Weeksellaceae
Description: bacterial SSU rRNA
Rfam family: Bacterial small subunit ribosomal RNA
Source: RNAcentral